Long non-coding RNA from Pipra filicauda (Wire-tailed manakin), 1250 nucleotides. RefSeq lists it as uncharacterized. Lineage: Eukaryota; Metazoa; Chordata; Aves; Passeriformes; Pipridae. The transcript has 4 exons. The record is from RefSeq and is a predicted model, not a curated record.
UUUUUUUGUUGUCGUUGUGGGGGGUUGUUUGUUUGUUUGUUUUUAUUUUGUUUUUUUUUCUGUAUUAAAAAUCUGGCUCAGUUACUCUCUACUUCUGGUGUGUUUUCUUUUCCAGGUGGUUGGUGUUUCUGCAGUGUUUGGCACAGGACUGGGGGAGAUUUUUACCCAGCUUUCUAAAGCUGUAGAUGAAUAGGAGAGACUGAAUGCACUCCCUUUAUUCACCUUUUCGGAGAGUAUCGUCCAGAAUACGAGCGCCUGAGAAAAACACUGGACAGUUCUCUGCAGGCACAGCUACACAGAGUUUGGCUUCCCGGCGCUGCUGAAAACGUCCUAGAAUCCCACCUGACUGGAGGUUGCUUUCCACGCUUAGUCAGAAGUUCUGUGAAACCUUAGUUGAAAUGUAAGACCUGCAUAGUGACUUCUGCUCUCUGACUGGGGGACAGGCUGCUGGGUUUGGGUGAGGUUUCUCUUCUCCUGAUGUUUUAAAUGUUCUCAGAAUCCACAGGUAAAUCUUUGUCUACGGGAGAAAGCUCAAAAUAAACAAAAGAGAGAGCAGCUGGAACACUUGUGGAAGGACAUGGGCAGCGUGUGUGUGCAGGGCAGCACAGUGGCAGGACCUGAUGCUUCUGCAAUGGGUCCCUCUGAGCUAAUACUAACACGAGGAACUCUCGAUGAAGAGCAAGAAGAGAGGGAGAGUGACGCUGAUGGCAUUGACCAUGAAGGUAAGGGAAUGAGGUCUAAAAGCUGCCUCUCAAGAAAUCCCCUCUAUAUUUCAUGUCCUGGAUGGACUGUAAGGAGAGCCUAGAAAACAAGCAAACAUUCAGUCACCUGACGUGUCAGAAUGUGUAGCAGAAGCUCAGCUGCAAUGGUCAGUGCAGGGAUAUCACUCUGUAACCUUUGUGAAAGUUCAAUUGUAAAUUUUCUAUUCAAGUAAUUAAUAGGUGUAUAAUACACAUAGACCAGAGAACUCGUUAGGCUUGGGGCAUGCAGUGACCUCUGAACCUGAUUGAUGCACAGAUGUGUCCAUCAUCUUUUUGGCCUUACAGUUUCUGCCCCUGGCUCUCUUCCCUUUUCCUGUGACUGUGGUCUUGGAGCAAUCUUCUAAGUUGUUACAGUGUGAUUUUUCUCUUCUAUAGCUCACAGACUUAAUCUUCAUUCUUUCCCUGUUCCACUGAUGGGUAGGAUCACUUAUUUCCUUUGCCCUGUAAUGUAGCUGAAGAUGGAAUAGACUUUCUAUGUUGCUUUGGCUA